RNAcentral lists this transfer RNA (74 nucleotides) under Ottowia sp. Its description in RNAcentral is "tRNA-Gly". It matches the Rfam family "tRNA". From Rfam's summary of the family: Transfer RNA (tRNA) molecules are approximately 80 nucleotides in length. Their secondary structure includes four short double-helical elements and three loops (D, anti-codon, and T loops). The record is from RNAcentral. Lineage: Bacteria; Pseudomonadati; Pseudomonadota; Betaproteobacteria; Burkholderiales; Comamonadaceae.
GCGGGCGUCGUUCAAUGGUAGGACAGGAGCUUCCCAAGCUCUUAACGUGGGUUCGAGUCCCAUCGCCCGCUCCA